UUUUCAAUAAAAGCGUAACUUUUAGACCUAAAAAAAAAUGGAAAAUCAACUUGUCUAAAAUUUAAUUUCAAUAGUUAUUUUGAAUGAGACCUGUUUGUAAACAAAAAGUGCAAUCUUAAAUAUUCUUUAAAAUGAUAUUAUUUUCAUAAUUUGUGUACUGUUUCGAAGGGGACAAAAAAAAAUUCUUCUAAAAACACAUAACUUUUUGCAAUUUUAAAUGUUUCCUAUAGACAUUCCAGUUUGUUUACUUUAAAUACUAGAAAAAUCUCAUUUUUUUCUAAAUUGGAAAACCAUUUUCAUCGUUAAAGAUAAGACAGUACUUCACAUAUGAAGGUACAACAUUUACGUAGUGGACAUUUUGAUGCGUUACGUAGUGGACAAAACCGUUUCGUAGUGGACAAAAAGUUUCGUAGUUGACAUCAACCC
This 426-nucleotide long non-coding RNA is filed under the name Mytilus galloprovincialis (Mediterranean mussel). Lineage: Eukaryota; Metazoa; Mollusca; Bivalvia; Mytilida; Mytilidae. The record is from RNAcentral.